RNAcentral lists this ribosomal RNA (669 nucleotides) under uncultured bacterium. Its description in RNAcentral is "bacterial SSU rRNA". It matches the Rfam family "Bacterial small subunit ribosomal RNA", at positions 52 to 720 of the family's 1533-position model. The record is from RNAcentral.
AAUUUACGCUUAACAAAAUGGAUAGUUUACUAUUUCAUGGAAUUAUUGUAAAUUUUAGUGGCGGACGGGUGAGUAACACGCAGGCAAUCUGCCUUUCAGUGGGAAAUAACUAAGAGAAAUUUUAGCUAAUGUCCCAUAAGACCACACUAUGGCAUCAUAGAGAGGUCAAAGGAGUAAUCCGCUGAAAGAUGAGCCUACGUCUGAUUAGUUAGUUGGAGUGGUAAUGGCACACCAAGACUAUGAUCAGUAGCCGAGCUGAGAGGCUGGCCGGCCACAUUGGGACUGAGAUACGGCCCAAACUCCUACGGGAGGCGGCAGUUGGGAAUAUUGGACAAUGGACGAAAGUCUGAUCCAGUGACGCCGCGUGAAGGAAGAAGGUCUUCGGAUUGUAAACUUAUUUUAUCAGGGAAGAAAAAAAUGACAGUACCUGAAGAAGAAGGACCGGCAAACUACGUGCCAGCAGCCGCGGUAAUACGUAGGGUCCAAGCGUUAUCCGGAUUUACUGGGUAUAAAGGGCGAGUAGACGGCACUACAAGUCAGAUGUGAAAACUUAGGGCUCAACCUUAAGACUGCAUCUGAAACUGUAGAGCUAGAGUACAGGAGAGGAAAGUGGAAUUCCUAGUGUAGCGGUGAAAUGCGUAGAUAUUAGGAGGAACACCAGUGGCGAAG